Acanthosepion pharaonis is the source of this 109-nucleotide non-coding RNA. Lineage: Eukaryota; Metazoa; Mollusca; Cephalopoda; Sepiida; Sepiidae. The record is from the annotation of a GenBank genome assembly.
GCCAUAUCAUGUUGAAACACCGGUUCCUAUAUGAUCACCAAAGUUAAGCAAUGUCAAGCCUGGUCAGUACCUUGAUGGAUGACCACUUGGGAAUAUCAUAUGCUGUAAG